Molecule: ribosomal RNA, 306 nt
Filed under: Triticum aestivum (bread wheat)
Lineage: Eukaryota; Viridiplantae; Streptophyta; Magnoliopsida; Poales; Poaceae
Description: partial small subunit ribosomal RNA
Source: RNAcentral
AUGGUACCACUGAUGUGCAACAGUAAUCUACCACGAUCGGACCGUCACCAUCUACCCAGACAUUGUACCGACGCUGUGAUCGUUGACACUGAUGAAGACCCAAUGAUAUCUUCAAAAGUGCCAGGUACCGAGUUGGUGUUUCUAGCUUGGAGAAGCAACAUCAACUUGGGAUACAGAUUCACCAGCAUAUGUACAUGCAUCUCAUCGGGGGAGAGCUCUUGCAUGGAUGACCAUAAUGUCACUCUGGAUGCUUCUCCACAAGAUUUGAUUCUGGAGGCUGACACUGGUGUUGCAGGGAUGUUUUGA